RNAcentral lists this ribosomal RNA (253 nucleotides) under uncultured bacterium. RNAcentral's name for it is "partial 16S ribosomal RNA". It matches the Rfam family "Bacterial small subunit ribosomal RNA", at positions 524 to 776 of the family's 1533-position model. The record is from RNAcentral.
UACGAAGGGGGCUAGCGUUGCUCGGAAUUACUGGGCGUAAAGCGUGCGCAGGCGGCUUCUCAAGUCAGGGGUGAAAGCCCAGAGCUCAACUCUGGAAUUGCCUUUGAGACUGAGUGGCUUGAGUACGGGAGAGGUGAGUGGAAUUCCCAGUGUAGAGGUGAAAUUCGUAGAUAUUGGGAAGAACACCGGUGGCGAAGGCGGCUCACUGGCCCGUAACUGACGCUGAUGCACGAAAGCGUGGGGAGCAAACAGG